AUGAGAACUCAUCAUUCUCUUCUUUUUAACAGUGGCGCACCAAAUCAAACUCCUUCUUCAUCACCGCCACAGAACACCACCACAACAACUCAUCUCUACCUCAACCUUUUAGGAUUUCCCCCCCCCCCCCCCGUCUCAGCUUUAUUUCGCUUCUCGUUUCGAUUCAACAUCAAAAUUCAUCUAUGUUUCUCCAUAUCAAAUCAUUUGGAAUCAAACUCACAUGAACCGCACGAAAUCGAAGAGGGAAAGGAAGAUAUAGAUCUUACCUACUGGAGAAAAUGUCAGGUGCUUCUUCAGCUUAGAAUCAGAAGAUGA
Non-coding RNA from Vicia faba (fava bean), 315 nucleotides. The record is from the annotation of a GenBank genome assembly. NCBI's taxonomy places the organism in Eukaryota, Viridiplantae, Streptophyta, Magnoliopsida, Fabales, Fabaceae.